AUUGUAAACAACGAACAAAUGUAAACAAACGGCUUAUGUCAAAAUCGCCCUACUUUUUUCAUAAGUGCGAUUAUAACGGGCCACUCUUCUGCUGUCGUGAUCUUGUCUUUUUGGUUCAUGACAGUAACCCAUAACAAACAAUUGAAUUUGUGAGUGCCGGCUGAUCUCUGGGCUAAGGUGAAAUGCAGAGACAAAUGUCUCGUUAUUUCAGCGAAAAACUACUUGGUUCUGUGGCAUCGAGCGAGAGUAAUGAAUGGUGUGUUGAUACUAACGCUGGCAUUUUCUAUGCAGAUGACUAGACUUGCUUGCUUUCCAUCUGUUUUAAAUGAAUUUUUCGUGCAAAAUAGUCAUCCUUUGGAGAAAAAGCAUUUACUUAAAAAAUCAGUCGAAGAAGAAUAUCGUAACUGGACAUCGAUGUCAAAUGGCUACGACAAUAAAUCAUAUUAUGUGGCCUAGAGCAAGAUCACUUUUCCUUUGUUUUCUUUUCAAUAUGAUUUGGGAAACGGAGACCGUCAAUACAGUGGCAUAUAUGUAUAAUCUUGGAGGACAUUAGUGCACGCGCUUUUUCAGCACCGACUGUUUCUACAAUGAAUUCCCCAAUGCACCUGCAACUUAGUUUGCCAAUCGCGCCCUCAAUAGUAGCAGGUAAUGUGGUGGGUGCUGUUGUGAAGGGUUAUUCAUUGACACCACAAAAAGAGAUACAAAACUACAUCAAUGCUGUUGGCAUAAUACUCGCUGCUCUGCUUAAGAAAUAUUGGAAUGCAAAUGAACACCAUGGUGAGCCGCUGAUAUGUGUCUUCAGUUGGUGCUGCCUUGAGUAAAAACUGUGAAGAAUCGCUGCAAGAAAUUAUGUAAGACAAUGCAGACAAAUUGGCGUCACUUACUAACGAGGAAACAGCGGAAACAAAGAUGAGGAAUUUGCAGGAUUGCAUAUAAUAUUUGGCUAAAUAUCGGCAUUGAAAGCACAAAGAUCACAACGAAAAACAACCACGCCAAAGAGGAGUUUUAUGUGCCUAGUCAAGCAUUUUUAACAUCGCUAAUACAAAUUUUCCCAGCCAUUUUCUAGCACAUACAACAAAGAUUUAUUUAAUCUGUCUUUGUGCUGAGGAAUGGGGUCUGCAUACCCGUGCAAACUGAUGCCGUUCCCUAUAUAAUGUUGUCUCUGUCGGAUUCAUUGCUAACGCCAUUAAACGAUGGCAUACUCGAUUGUAUGGAUCUCAUACAAAAGUUUAUUGGUAACAACUGCGGGGGUAAAUGAGUCAUUGAAUUCGAAUGUCUUCACUGGGCGCUUGGCGGUUACUGCUUUACUACAUCGAUUCCAAGAAGUUUUGAAGCGUUCCAAUGACGACGAACGGCUGAUGGGCGCCGUGCAAGGGUCACAGUAGCUCAUUCCGGGGUAUUGAUCGUAAUUAUCAGUGAAGUGCACGGCUUCCAAAUGCGCAUUAAGUCAAUUCAAGAACCAGUUUGAUAACAAAGAAGUAUCAUACCACAACAUUACCGGCACCCUGACUCUUAUUAAAUAAGUACCAAAUAAGUAAAGACAUAUCGUCUACCCGAUAUUACUUACAGUGGUCCACGAAAUAAUAGGAAUGCGAUAUUUUAACAACUAUUACUACACUUUUCGAAAUUUAAAAAGUUAAAUACGGCAUUAAUUGUAAUUCUUUCCUGUAAAUUUGUUGGGGAAAGAAAAAACAACAAAAAAAGCGAAAGUAAUGCCGAAGUUAACUUAUACUAUUUCGGAAAAUUUAGUGCUAACUUGACACACGUAAUAACAUGGUUCUUUUGAGUCACAACAAAAUUGUAUUCAACUAUCAAUCAUGAUCAAAAUAAAUUUUUAUAUGGAAGAAAAUGCACAA
This is a long non-coding RNA of Rhagoletis pomonella (apple maggot), 1856 nucleotides long. RefSeq lists it as uncharacterized. The transcript has 7 exons. The record is from RefSeq and is a predicted model, not a curated record. NCBI's taxonomy places the organism in Eukaryota, Metazoa, Arthropoda, Insecta, Diptera, Tephritidae.